AAGACUAAAGGGCAUUGUCAUAUUUUUUAGGUAAAAAGGUGGUUAUUUAAAUUUGUGUAAACUAGUUGUUUAUUAGAAGUGCAAUAACUAAUUGUAUUUAGGUAAAAUUUUUAUAAUUAGGUUUUAUUUUAGUAUUUUAUUGAUUUGAUCCACUAUAGCUAAAGUAGAGACUAGGAUUAGAUACCCUAUUAUUUUUAGUUUUAAAUUUUUAAUACCAGGGGAGUACGAAUGAUUUUAAAGUUUAAAACUCAAAGGACUUGGCGGUAUUUGUAGACUUAUUAGGGGAACCUGCCUCGUGAUCGAUGAUCCUCGUUAGACCUAACUUUUUUUUGUUUUCAGCUUGUAUACCGUCGUUAUCAGGUAACUUUUUAGAAUUUUGAGGUUGGCUAUAUAGCUAGUGAGCUUAUAUAUCAGAUCAAGGUGCAGCUUAUAAAGAUAGUGAGGGUGGGUUACAAUUAUAAUAUUUAUAAUUAUGGAUUAUUUAGUUAAAUUUUAUUUAUGAAGGAGGACUUAAAAGUAAAAAUAUGAUUUAGUAUAAUGGUAUUUUGAAUUUAGCUCUUGAAUGUGC
RNAcentral lists this ribosomal RNA (568 nucleotides) under Mesoginella sp. MNHN-IM-2013-43731. RNAcentral describes it as "partial 12S ribosomal RNA". Lineage: Eukaryota; Metazoa; Mollusca; Gastropoda; Neogastropoda; Marginellidae. The record is from RNAcentral.